Molecule: transfer RNA, 74 nt
Filed under: Bacteroidales bacterium
Lineage: Bacteria; Pseudomonadati; Bacteroidota; Bacteroidia; Bacteroidales
Description: tRNA-Arg
Rfam family: tRNA
About the family: Transfer RNA (tRNA) molecules are approximately 80 nucleotides in length. Their secondary structure includes four short double-helical elements and three loops (D, anti-codon, and T loops).
Source: RNAcentral
GGUUCCGUAGCUCAGCUGGAUAGAGCAACGGCCUUCUAAGCCGUAGGUCACAGGUUCGAAUCCUGUCGGAAUCA